ACUACAAGCAGCGAAUGUUGGGGGCUCAAUCGGCGUCAUGCGAAGCCUCGUUGUCGUCUGUCUGCUGGUUUUACUCGUACCCAUCAUUUGGGCGGCUAAGAAGCGCAGAAACUACUACGAACAUGGAAAACACCGUGGAAAUAUGCCUCCAGGGAUGGAUAAGGAAGACCUAAUGCGACUAUGCUUCUUGGAAUGCCCGGGAAUUUGUCGCAUGAGGCCGUCCGAGGUGGAUAAGGUGUGUCGACGUCAUUGCAUGCAAUUUUGCCACCUCAAGGAUUAAAACCGAUUUGCGUGGUCAGGCUGGUUCAUUCCAAUAAGCACCGAGCUAGAGGAAUUAUGCACAAACGUUGGACCUACCUCCCAGACGACUUUAAUGCUCUUGGUAUCGAUGGCUUCACAUUUGACGUUCAUGGGUGGUGCUCCGGGAGCUGUAAUGGAUGUCGUCCAUUGACAAAAGGCGACAUUCUGGCUGCCACUCACCUUCCGAAGCUGUUGUGAAUGACACAAUGUCAGAAGGAUCGCCAAAGCCCACGGAGUUUUCCGCAAGUACCACGGCUGCGUACUCGGUACCAGGAUGCAAGUUGGACACUGUCAGGGAGGCUCGGGAACCGUCCACUUCCCGUUCUUGAAGUACGCUACCUUUGCCUGAAAAUUACUUAUUACAUUAUUGCACGUUAAAACGUAAAAGGGCGGCAAAAAAGUGGGACACUAUUUCUUAGACAAGAAACGGGUUCGAUUUCUCGUUUUGCAGACACAAAAGUAUUCCCUUGAAGCAGCGCAGUUCUACGUGUAUAACCAGCAAAAUUAAUUUCUUACGUGUUUCAAUGUAUAACUGUCUCGCUUCCUGUUAACAAGAAUAACCUAAGUACAGACAGAACUUACCAGACUUUUUCCAGUAUCGGAUGAGGUACCUGGUGACCUGCUUGCUGGGUUGGGACCAUUUGAUCUGAACCUGACGACUGCCGCGCUCGGGAACCACCACGUUGCUCGGACUUGCCGGCGGUUCUAAAUAAGACCAAUCUUGUUAAACAAGAUGUAGUU
Ornithodoros turicata is the source of this 1041-nucleotide long non-coding RNA. RefSeq lists it as uncharacterized. The transcript is spliced from 3 exons. NCBI's taxonomy places the organism in Eukaryota, Metazoa, Arthropoda, Arachnida, Ixodida, Argasidae. The record is from RefSeq and is a predicted model, not a curated record.